This 80-nucleotide transfer RNA is filed under the name Actinomycetota bacterium. RNAcentral describes it as "tRNA-Ser". Lineage: Bacteria; Bacillati; Actinomycetota. The record is from RNAcentral.
GAGGGCGAGUGCGGUUUCGGCGGUCUCGAAAACCGUCAGAGGCGGUUCGUCUCUCGAGGGUUCGAGUCCCUCCCCCUCCG